GGUGAACGCUGGCGGUAUGCUUAACACAUGCAAGUCGAACGGACUCUUCGGAGUUAGUGGCGGACGGGUGAGUAACGCGUGAGAAUCUGGCUUUGGGUUCGGGACAACCACUGGAAACGGUGGCUAAUACCGGAUGUGCCGAGAGGUAAAAGAGAAAUUGCCUGAAGAUGAGCUCGCGUCUGAUUAGCUAGUUGGUGAGGUAAAGGCUCACCAAGGCAGCGAUCAGUAGCUGGUCUGAGAGGAUGACCAGUCACACUGGGACUGAGACACGGCCCAGACUCCUACGGGAGGCAGCAGUGGGGAAUUUUCCGCAAUGGGCGAAAGCCUGACGGAGCAAUACCGCGUGAGGGAAGAAGGCUCUUGGGUUGUAAACCUCUUUUCUUAGGGAAGAACAAAAUGACGGUACCUAAGGAAUCAGCAUCGGCUAACUCCGUG
This 435-nucleotide ribosomal RNA is filed under the name uncultured bacterium. RNAcentral describes it as "partial 16S ribosomal RNA". It matches the Rfam family "Bacterial small subunit ribosomal RNA", at positions 28 to 507 of the family's 1533-position model. The record is from RNAcentral.